AGCGAAGUAGCUCAGCUGGUAGAGCGUAUGGCCAAAAACCAUAAUGUCAGUGGUUCGACUCCACUCUUUACGC
This is a non-coding RNA of Eubacterium plexicaudatum ASF492, 73 nucleotides long. NCBI's taxonomy places the organism in Bacteria, Bacillati, Bacillota, Clostridia, Eubacteriales, Eubacteriaceae. The record is from Rfam.